Molecule: ribosomal RNA, 402 nt
Filed under: uncultured bacterium
Lineage: Bacteria
Description: bacterial SSU rRNA
Rfam family: Bacterial small subunit ribosomal RNA
Source: RNAcentral
UGGGGAAUCUUGCACAAUGGGGGCAACCCUGAUGCAGCGACGCCGCGUGAGCGAUGAAGCCCUUCGGGGCGUAAAGCUCUUUCGACCGGAACGAUAAUGACGGUACCGGGAGAAGAAGCCUCGGCUAACUACGUGCCAGCAGCCGCGGUAAAACGUAGGAGGCGAGCGUUAUCCGGAUUUACUGGGCGUAAAGCGCACGCAGGCGGCUCUGUUAGUCGGACGUGAAAGCUCUCGGCUUAACCGAGAGAGGCCGUUCGAUACUGCGGGGCUUGAGGUAGGGAGAGGAAUGCGGAAUUCCCGGUGUAGUGGUGGAAUGCGUAGAUAUCGGGAGGAACACCUGUGGCGAAAGCGGCAUUCUGGCCCUCACCUGACGCUGAGGUGCGAAAGCGUGGGUAGCAAACA